CUUUUUUUAUGCCUUGGGAGAAGUCCUGUGCUGCAGACCCUUCGCUGGCUGCGAUGUUGUGCUUGGAACGAGCCCCUGUUUAGGCUGUCGGUGGCGGAACCCCGGGUUCCUGCUCGGAAAGAGCAGCAGCCUGCUAUCAUCAGCCUCAGCGUGACGGCGCCGGCCAGAUGCGAAUGCAGAACCCACCAAGGGCUUCACCUUUACCAUCAUGUGGGCCAUGUGGCCCUGCAGCAAGUCUGUCACUCAGGAGUGAAGGCGAAGGGUGGGAGAGGACCCUGUGUGCCUGGAGGCCUGUUGCUGCGGAGCCAAAAUGUAUGUGAAUGUGUGUGUGCCCCCUCCAUGGCAGGGGCUGAAGAGACAGACUUGUUCACAAAAGUGUGUGUGGCCAAGAAACAGGAGAUGAACAGAACAUGGGGCUGAAACUCUUCCUCUGAUAAAGAGCAGCAGCUGGUUGACAAAGAUGAACCUCAUCUUACUGUGUAUUGUCGAUUAGCUUCUUUAGCCCUUCACCCACAGCCAAAAGCUUUGUGUGGUGCAGAAAGUCCCACAGAUGUUGCCAGAGGAACCUCAAUAGCUUCUCUCUCCACACUUAGUAGGGAUUUACAAACACACUUCAGGGAGUUUAGUCUGAGUCUGAGCAGUUGGCUGUAUCUAAAAGCUCUGCUCACUGCUUUGUAAAUCUAAAAGAUUUCAUAGGUUCCUUCUCUUCAGAUUUUCACAGAAGAGCCUGUAAGUGCUUUGGACCAAAUAGCCGUGCAGUUAAUGAACUGUGCACACACAGGCACUAUGUCCAGCUAUGAAUUCACACUUAAUAGUUCAACAGAAAUAUCUGGUUUCAUAUGUUUCUCAUUCUUUUUAAAAUAGUGAUAGGCUUGUCAAUUAAAUCCAUCUUUAAAAUAGAUUUUACCAAAUAUAUGCAUCGCUCAGUGAGAUUAAUUUAAUGUUCUCUUUUCCACAUGCAUUUCCAAGAGAAUUAAAGGACCUAAUAUUCUAUUGUAAUCUGUGGUUUUUUUUUUUCUUCAACUUCCCAAAAUACCAGACAUUUGAUGGGAUACUGUAAAACCCUCUGGAGAAUUUUUUUUUUUUUAUGGAGAGACCAGAAUGAAAAUUUUCAAUCUGAAAUGCACAAUAAGGCUAGAUUUAAAAAAAACCCCACAAACUGUUGCCUACUUUUGUGUGUUUCAAACCAAGAUACCCAAAAUAUGAUUUUUCAGGGAUGCUGAGCAAACAUAACUCCCAUGGACUCCAGCCAGAAAUUCUCCUGUUUGCCACAGCUGCAAAUCAAGCUCUGCAUUACUAAGGGGACCAGAAAGCAUUCAUUGAGCAGUUUUUACUUCCAAUAUUUUCUUACUGUGGAAACAUGCUUAAGUGAUACUUGAUGUCAUUCAGUCGCAGAUGACACAGCUCAUAAAGCAAAAAAAAAAAAAAAAGGGAAAAAGAAAAAAAGAAAAAGAAGCAAAACUCAGGUGGUGAAAAUUUACCUGAGUGUGUGAGAAAGAGGAGGGGGAGAGGUUUUUGUGUGAAAGCUUCACUCUUUGUAAAGGAGACAGAUGGUUUGCAUCUACUGCCAUGAAUAUUACAAGCUUCAGGUGUCCCAAAACGCUGUGAAAUGCAACAUUAUAAAUUGGUGGCGAAUAUUAAGUCCAAAGUUAUCAAGGAAAACAAUGGCUUUUGCCUCUGCUACAGGUAAUUUAGGGAAACCUUCCCAGAGUUCCUUUUUAUUAAGAAAGAACUCCGCUGAGCAUGAGUAAUACAAAGAGAAGCUGGUUCCAUUCGAAAAUACUAUGCAUCUGAAAAUAUUUUUACUGUUUACUUUCAAUAUUGCUGGAUCAUGCCCCCAUUAGCACCCACUCAAACCUACCCUUUCCAUUCCUUUCCAUAAUUUUAAUCAGAUCCUUCAUUUCCUCCAAACCCACAGUCCUUAAUUACAAUUUACAGACACAGCAAUGGAGCACAAGCUGGUCAAAACAGCUGUGUGAAAGUUUCUACUCCGAAGGAAAUAUUACUGAUGAGGAUAAUUUUGCAGCCAAAUAGAUUUUUCCUUCAUUUGUAUUAACACAGUAUCUUCCGUCUCCUUCCAGGCAAUUUCCACAGGUACAAGUAGGCAGCAUUUCUGCCCAUUUACAUACUGGUUUUUGCUGAGGAUUUCUGCAUUUUUGAUUUUGUGGGCCAAUGUUCCAACAUGCUUGUUCGUUCCUAAGAUUUGGAAGAUAAUAGUGGAACAUUUGAUACCCAAGUAUUACUGAAAGGUCUCUGUGAAUUCACUUAAAUUUACUGGUAUUUACUAUAUUAUUCUCUGAGACACAGGGCCAAACAUUCACAAAAAUAGACAUUCACAAACCUUGAUUUAGGCUUUAAAAAACUUAUGAUAUCCAGUGACUCUCACUUGGGACAAAAAGAAAUAUUGAGUGUCCUACACACUUUUAAGACAACUUAUGGCUCUCUAUUUCACAGUGGUUUUGGUGAAGGUUCUCUGUUCUAUCCCUCAGACUGCUUUUGAAAAGUAUAGCUACUAGCUGACUUGUGGCUAAAUGGGCUCUUGUGACAAUGCAUUCCAGCCAGUCCUGGAAAUCUGUUUGACCUGGGCUCAGCCACCAAACUUGAGAUGUCUUUGACUUGUAUUUGCUGCCUGGUGAAUCUGCCCCAAAAAGACACAAAGAGUGUGUCUGUAACUGUUUUCCCAGCAAACAAUGCAAGGUGUGAUUAUCCUCUCAUGCCAGCUUUACUGUGGUGUAUGUUCAUUCUACUUGCAUAGGACUAUUUGUAAUUUACAUGGCUACAAGAAAAUAUACUGCAAGACCCUAAGGGUCUUGGAUUUGUGAGAUUCAUAAGGCUUCAUGAGAGAAUGCAGAAUAAACUGUAUUGAAUCACAGGAGUGUGAUUGCUG
This is a long non-coding RNA of Chloebia gouldiae (Gouldian finch), 2887 nucleotides long. Lineage: Eukaryota; Metazoa; Chordata; Aves; Passeriformes; Passeridae. The record is from Ensembl.